GUCCAUGCCUUAAACGAUGUAUACUAGGAGUAAGAGGGCUCAACCCCCUUGUUCCGGAGCUAACGCAUUAAGUAUACCGCCUGGGGAGUACGCUCGCAAGGGUGAAACUCAAAAGAAUUGACGGGGCCCGCACAAGCAGUGGAGCAUGUGGUUUAAUUCGAUGCAACGCGAAGAACCUUACCUGGGCUAGAAGUGUAGAGGACGACAUCAGAGAUGAUGUUUCUCGAAAGGGUCUUUACAUAGGUGCUGCAUGGCUGUCGU
This 261-nucleotide ribosomal RNA is filed under the name uncultured bacterium. RNAcentral's name for it is "partial 16S ribosomal RNA". It matches the Rfam family "Bacterial small subunit ribosomal RNA", at positions 793 to 1055 of the family's 1533-position model. The record is from RNAcentral.